UGCGGGGGGGGCAAGCGUUGUUCGGAAUUACUGGGCGUAAAGGGCUCGUAGGCGGCCAACUAAGUCAGACGUGAAAUCCCUCGGCUUAACCGGGGAACUGCGUCUGAUACUGGAUGGCUUGAAUCCGGGAGAGGGAUGCGGAAUUCCAGGUGUAGCGGUGAAAUGCGUAGAUAUCAGGAGGAACACCGGUGGCGAAGGCGGGUCUCUGGGCCGAUACUGACGCUGAGGAGCGAAAGCGUGGGGAGCGAACAGG
Molecule: ribosomal RNA, 253 nt
Filed under: uncultured bacterium
Lineage: Bacteria
Description: partial 16S ribosomal RNA
Rfam family: Bacterial small subunit ribosomal RNA
Source: RNAcentral